This is a small nucleolar RNA of Erinaceus europaeus (western European hedgehog), 133 nucleotides long. NCBI's taxonomy places the organism in Eukaryota, Metazoa, Chordata, Mammalia, Eulipotyphla, Erinaceidae. The record is from Ensembl.
AAAUCUUAAAAAAAAAAAUGGCGUACCUGAUUGUGUUUUUGCAGAAACUUCUUAUAACUGGUGGUAGAAAUGCCAUAUGUUACAAGCCUUAAUGACAUUGGGGUCAUUAAGGUCCCUGAAAGUGGCUAUAUGA